RNAcentral lists this ribosomal RNA (465 nucleotides) under uncultured bacterium. RNAcentral describes it as "partial 16S ribosomal RNA". It matches the Rfam family "Bacterial small subunit ribosomal RNA", at positions 28 to 507 of the family's 1533-position model. The record is from RNAcentral.
GACGAACGCUGGCGGCGUGCUUAACACAUGCAAGUCGAACGGAAAGGCCCUGCUUGCAGGGUACUCGAGUGGCGAACGGGUGAGUAACACGUGGGUGAUCUGCCCUGCACUUCGGGAUAAGCCUGGGAAACUGGGUCUAAUACCGGAUAGGAGCCAUUUUUAGUGUGAUGGUUGGAUAGUUUUUUCGGUGUAUGAUGAGCUCGCGGCCUAUCAGCUUGUUGGUGGGGUAAUGGCCUACCAAGGCGGCGACGGGUAGCCGGCCUGAGAGGGUGGACGGCCACAUUGGGUCUGAGAUAAGGCCCAGACUCCUACGGGAGGCAGCAGUGGGGAAUAUUGCACAAUGGGCGCAAGCCUGAUGCAGAGACGCCGCGUGGGGGAUGACGGCCUUCGGGUUGUAAACUCCUUUCGCUAGGGACGAAGCUUUUUGUGACGGUACCUAGAUAAGAAGCACCGGCUAACUACGUG